CAGGGCGUGCCCGGCCUUCGGCGCAGCUGCUGGGCAAUGGCGGUUGGAGCGGCGCCUCCGCGGCUUGUGAGCGGCCUCUGGCUGCCUUCCCGGACGGCCCCGAGGACGGUGGAACUCGGGAGGCGCCUGGAGGGUUUCCCGGCCCCGGUUCCGGAGGCGAGAGGGCCGUGCCCCAACGGAGUCACCAACGUCGGAAACCGCUGCCUCGGGCAGAGUUGCAACGGCUGGCAAGAGGAGAAGAGGACCUGGUGGAAGACUUGGAUUUUUCCGAUGGAAACUGAUGGAUGGACAGAUUUUUUGGCGGGGUGUAACUGGACAGCUGUUGCCACUUGUGGAGGGCCAAGGAAGGGACUGCAUUGUUCCAGCUGGCCCUGAAGCCGAGUUGAUGCAUUGGAGGGAAAUGCCAGAAAAUUUUGUCAUCCAGCAGGGAAGUCUAAAAAGACCACAUUGGCUGCAAAAAACCCCCUGCCUCUUUAGAAUAAUAAUGUGGGUUCUGAAAACCAUCACAAAAUAAUACCUACUUUAAAA
This is a non-coding RNA of Pseudonaja textilis, 528 nucleotides long. The record is from RefSeq and is a predicted model, not a curated record. NCBI's taxonomy places the organism in Eukaryota, Metazoa, Chordata, Lepidosauria, Squamata, Elapidae.